Molecule: ribosomal RNA, 881 nt
Filed under: uncultured bacterium
Lineage: Bacteria
Description: bacterial SSU rRNA
Rfam family: Bacterial small subunit ribosomal RNA
Source: RNAcentral
UUAACUCUGGAACUGCCAUCAAAACUUUUCAGCUAGAGUAUGAUAGAGGAAAGCAGAAUUUCUAGUGUAGAGGUGAAAUUCGUAGAUAUUAGAAAGAAUACCAAUUGCGAAGGCAGCUUUCUGGAUCAUUACUGACACUGAGGAACGAAAGCAUGGGUAGCGAAGAGGAUUAGAUACCCUCGUAGUCCAUGCCGUAAACGAUGUGUGUUAGACGUUGGAAAUUUAUUUUCAGUGUCGCAGGGAAACCGAUAAACACACCGCCUGGGGAGUACGACCGCAAGGUUAAAACUCAAAUGAAUUGACGGGGACCCGCACAAGUAGUGGAGCAUGUGGUUUAAUUCGAAGAUACGCGCAGAACCUUACCAACACUUGACAUGUUCGUCGCGACUCUAAGAGAUUAGAGUUUUCGGUUCGGCCGGACGAAACACAGGUGCUGCAUGGCUGUCGUCAGCUCGUGUCGUGAGAUGUUGGGUUAAGUCCCGCAACGAGCGCAACCCUCACUUUUAGUUGCCAUCAUUAAGUUGGGCACUCUGAAAGAACUGCCAGUGAUAAGCUGGAGGAAGGUGGGGAUGACGUCAAGUCCUCAUGGCCCUUACGUGUUGGGCUACACACGUGCUACAAUGGCAUCUACAACAGGAAGCAAAACGGCAACGUUAAGCAAAUCCCGAAAAGAUGCCUCAGUUCGGAUUGCACUCUGCAACUCGAGUGCAUGAAGCUGGAAUUACUAGUAAUCGUGGAUCAGCGUGCCACGGUGAAUGCGUUCCCGGGUCUUGUACACACCGCCCGUCACACCAUGGGAGUUGGUUCUACCUUAAGGCAAGGCUUUAAACCCUUGACCACGGUAUAGUCAGCGACUGGGGUGAAGUCGUAACAAGGUAGCC